Molecule: ribosomal RNA, 552 nt
Filed under: Tubuca coarctata
Lineage: Eukaryota; Metazoa; Arthropoda; Malacostraca; Decapoda; Ocypodidae
Description: partial 16S rRNA
Rfam family: Bacterial large subunit ribosomal RNA
Source: RNAcentral
GUCUGUUUGGAGAUAUAAAAAGUCUGGCCUGCCCACUGAUAGUUUUUAAAGGGCCGCGGUAAUUUGACCGUGCAAAGGUAGCAUAAUCGUUAGUUUUUUAAUUGGAAUCUUGUAUGAAUGGCUGAACAAAAGAAUAUCUGUCUCUGUAUUUUCUUUUGAAUUUAACUUUUAAGUGAAAAGGCUUGAAUUUUUUAAAAAGACGAUAAGACCCUGUAAAGCUUGAUAAGUUUUAUUAUUUAAUUAAAUUGAUAAUUGUAUAAAAGUUUAAUAAGAGUGAUUUAUUUUAUUGGGGCGAUAAUGAUAAAAUGUUUCUAACUGUUUAUAAAAAGAAAACAAAGUUUAGUGUGUAAAAGUGUAAAUGAUCCUUAAGUAAAGAUUAAGAGUUUAAGUUACUUCAGGGAUAACAGCGUUAUUUUUUUUGAGAGUUCAUAUCGAAAAAAAAGUUUGCGACCUCGAUGUUGAAUUAAAAUUUCUAUAUAAUUGCAGAAGUUAUAUUAGAAGGUCUGUUCGACCUUUAAAUUUUUACAUGAUUUGAGUUCAGACCGGCGUGAG